This 756-nucleotide ribosomal RNA is filed under the name uncultured Gammaproteobacteria bacterium. RNAcentral's name for it is "bacterial SSU rRNA". It matches the Rfam family "Bacterial small subunit ribosomal RNA", at positions 30 to 778 of the family's 1533-position model. The record is from RNAcentral. Lineage: Bacteria; Pseudomonadati; Pseudomonadota; Gammaproteobacteria.
UGAACGUUGGCGGCAGGCCUUAGACAUGCAAGUCGAACGGUAACAGCAGAGCUUGCUCUGGCUGACGAGUGGCGGACGGGUGAGUAACGCGUAGGAAUCUACCCAGUAGCGGGGGAUAGCCCGGGGAAACCCGGAAUAAUACCGCAUACGCCCCACGGGGGAAAGAGGGCCUCUUCUUGAAAGCUCUCACUAUUGGAGGAGCCUGCGUUGGAUUAGCUAGUUGGUGGGGUAAAGGCCUACCAAGGCGACGAUCCAUAGCUGGUCUGAGAGGACGAUCAGCCACACUGGAACUGAGACACGGUCCAGACUCCUACGGGAGGCAGCAGUCAGGAAUAUUGUGCAAUGGGGGAAACCCUGACACAGCCAUGCCGCGUGUGUGAAGAAGGCCUUAGGGUUGUAAAGCACUUUCAGUAGGGAGGAACUAGCAGCGUUAAUACCGCUGUGAGAUGACGUUACCUACAGAAGAAGAUCCGGCUAACUCCGUGCCAGCAGCCGCGGUAAUACGGAGGGAUCGAACGUUAAUCGGAAUUACUGGGCGUAAAGCGCGCGUAGGUGGUUUGUUAAGUGGGAUGUGAAAGCCCCGGGCUCAACCUGGGAACUGCAUUCCAAACUGACAAACUAGAGUACGAUAGAGGGGGGUAGAAUUCAGAGUGUAGCGGUGAAAUGCGUAGAUAUUCUGAGGAAUACCGGUGGCGAAGGCGGCCCCCUGGAUUGAUACUGACACUGAGGUGCGAAAGCGUGGGGAGCAAACAGGAU